This 535-nucleotide ribosomal RNA is filed under the name Theromyzon rude. RNAcentral's name for it is "partial 28S ribosomal RNA". It matches the Rfam family "Eukaryotic large subunit ribosomal RNA", at positions 664 to 1163 of the family's 3401-position model. Lineage: Eukaryota; Metazoa; Annelida; Clitellata; Rhynchobdellida; Glossiphoniidae. The record is from RNAcentral.
GACCAAGGAGUCUACCCAUUAUGCGAGUGUUAGGGUGGAACGAAACCCAAACGCACACCGAAAGGGAUGCAAGAUGUGAAGCGCAACUCGGGCGGGAUCCCGGGCGGAGAAAUCGGGCGGCGGAGAAAUUUGCCGCGUCUUGAUUGCUCCGAUGAAGGACUUGAGUAAGAGCAUAAUUGGUAGGACCCGAAAGAUGGUGAACUACGGUUGAGUAGGGUGAAGCCAGGGGAAACUCUGGUGGAGGCUCGAAGCGUUACUGACGUGCAAAUCGUUCGUCAAACUUGACUGUAGGGGCGAAAGACUAAUCGAACUAUCUAGUAGCUGGUUCCCUCUGAAAUUUCUCUCAGGAUAGCAGGAACAGAUUGCAGUUUUAUCAGGUAAAGCUAAUGAUUAGUGGACUCGGGGGUCUGAGAUCCUCGACCAAUUCUCAAACUUUAAAUUGGUAAGAACCUCUAGUUAUCUUAAUUGAACUGGGCCGUUGCAGGGAAGAGUUCUUAGUGGGCCAUUUUUGGUAAGCAGAACUGGCGCUGUGGGA